GUGAAGAACGCAGCUAAAUGCGAUAAGUAAUGUGAAUUGCAGAAUUCAGUGAAUCAUCGAAUCUUUGAACGCACAUUGCGCCCGCCAGUAUUCUGGCGGGCAUGCCUGUUCGAGCGUCAUUACAACCCUCAGGCCCCCGGGCCUGGCGUUGGGGAUCGGCGGAAGCCCCCUGCGGGCACAACGCCGUCCCCCAAAUACAGUGGCGGUCCCGCCGCAGCUUCCAUUGCGUAGUAGCUAACACCUCGCAACUGGAGAGCGGCGCGGCCACGCCGUAAAACACCCAACUUCUGAAUGUUGACCUCGAAUCAGGUAGGAAUACCCGCUGAACUUAAGCAUAUCAAUAAGCGGAGGA
This 352-nucleotide unclassified non-coding RNA is filed under the name soil metagenome. Its description in RNAcentral is "partial contains 5.8S ribosomal RNA, internal transcribed spacer 2, and large subunit ribosomal RNA". The stretch from base 2 to 119 matches the Rfam family "5.8S ribosomal RNA", at positions 37 to 154 of the family's 154-position model. The record is from RNAcentral.